RNAcentral lists this small nuclear RNA (82 nucleotides) under Chinchilla lanigera (long-tailed chinchilla). RNAcentral's name for it is "U4 spliceosomal RNA (ENSCLAG00000020427.1)". It matches the Rfam family "U4 spliceosomal RNA", at positions 1 to 82 of the family's 138-position model. From Rfam's summary of the family: U4 small nuclear RNA (U4 snRNA) is a component of the major U2-dependent spliceosome. The structure of U4 snRNA from yeast and human has been reported. U4 snRNA presents a k-turn RNA motif in the 5p-SL related to recognition of Snu13 protein. Lineage: Eukaryota; Metazoa; Chordata; Mammalia; Rodentia; Chinchillidae. The record is from RNAcentral.
AACUUUGUGCAGUGGUGGCAUUGUUGCUGAUGAGGUUUAUCUGAGGUGCAAUUAUUGAUAAUUGAAAACUGUCCCCAAAACU